AGUGGCGGACGGGUGAGUAACGCGUAAGAAUCUAACUUCAGGACGGGGACAACAGUGGGAAACGACUGCUAAUACCCGAUGUGCCGCGAGGUGAAACCUAAUUGGCCUGAAGAAGAGCUUGCGUCUGAUUAGCUAGUUGGUGGGGUAAGAGCCUACCAAGGCGACGAUCAGUAGCUGGUCUGAGAGGAUGAGCAGCCACACUGGGACUGAGACACGGCCCAGACUCCUACGGGAGGCAGCAGUGGGGAAUUUUCCGCAAUGGGCGAAAGCCUGACGGAGCAACGCCGCGUGAGGGAGGAAGGUCUUUGGAUUGUAAACCUCUUUUCUCAAGGAAGAAGUUCUGACGGUACUUGAGGAAUCAGCCUCGGCUAACUCCGUGCCAGCAGCCGCGGGAAUACGGGGGAGGCAAGCGUUAUCCGGAAUUAUUGGGCGUAAAGCGUCCGCAGGUGGUCAGCCAAGUCUGCCGUCAAAUCAGGUUGCUUAACGACCUAAAGGCGGUGGAAACUGGCAGACUAGAGAGCAGUAGGGGUAGCAGGAAUUCCCAGUGUAGCGGUGAAAUGCGUAGAGAUUGGGAAGAACAUCGGUGGCGAAAGCGUGCUACUGGGCUGUAUCUGACACUCAGGGACGAAGGCUAGGGGAGCGAAAGGGAUUAGAUACCCCUGUAGUCCUAGCCGUAAACGAUGGAUACUAGGCGUGGCUU
RNAcentral lists this ribosomal RNA (700 nucleotides) under uncultured bacterium. Its description in RNAcentral is "bacterial SSU rRNA". It matches the Rfam family "Bacterial small subunit ribosomal RNA", at positions 94 to 828 of the family's 1533-position model. The record is from RNAcentral.